RNAcentral lists this long non-coding RNA (645 nucleotides) under Homo sapiens (human). RNAcentral describes it as "TMEM161B divergent transcript". Lineage: Eukaryota; Metazoa; Chordata; Mammalia; Primates; Hominidae. The record is from RNAcentral.
GGGCGGAUCGUGGUGGCUGCGCUUGCGAGGACCCUGAGUUUAAACUUGAUUUUGUGAGGGGACGAACAGCGUGACAAUUAAAAGAAGAUCUGGGAAUCAAAAGCUUCCUGAGGCCUUCACCAGAAGCAGAUGCUGGUGCCGUGCUUCUACAGCCUGCAGAACUGAAGGACUUUACAGCUUCUCUUUCGCAUAUCCAAAUUGCCAGCAUCACCGCUCUUGCACUCCAAGCCAUUAUUAAGUAAAGUAAAGAACACAAACACUGUGAUACUGCUACACUUGAUCUGAUAACCAAGAAGUCUACUAAGUGACUAACAGAGCAACUGGGAACCUAAUUCUGACCAAAAAGGAGGAAUUGUUUGGCUAAUUGGAAGUGACAGAAACCUUGGGAGAAAGCAACCGCAUACCAAGGAUAAUUAUAAGAAGAAGAGAAGACAUGGAGAAGAGGAGGGAGUAGUUGUGACCGUGGAGGCAGAGAAUGGAGUAAUGUGAUCAUAAAUCAAGGAAUGCUGACAGCCACUAAAGCUGGAGAAGGCCAAGGACAGAUAUUCAAUCCUCCCGUAGAAGUACAGCCCUGCUAAUGCAUUGAUUUUGGACUUCUGGCCUCAGAACUGUAAGAGAAUAAAUUUCUAUUGUUUUAAGCCUUCA